This 427-nucleotide ribosomal RNA is filed under the name uncultured bacterium. RNAcentral's name for it is "partial 16S ribosomal RNA". It matches the Rfam family "Bacterial small subunit ribosomal RNA", at positions 355 to 774 of the family's 1533-position model. The record is from RNAcentral.
UGGGGAAUAUUGCACAAUGGGCGCAAGCCUGAUGCAGCCAUGCCGCGUGUAUGAAGAAGGCCUUCGGGUUGUAAAGUACUUUCAGCGAGGAGGAAGGCGUUGUGGUUAAUAACCACAACGAUUGACGUUACUCGCAGAAGAAGCACCGGCUAACUCCGUGCCAGCAGCCGCGGUAAUACGGAGGGUGCAAGCGUUAAUCGGAAUUACUGGGCGUAAAGCGCACGCAGGCGGUCUGUCAAGUCGGAUGUGAAAUCCCCGGGCUCAACCUGGGAACUGCAUCCGAAACUGGCAGGCUAGAGUCUUGUAGAGGGGGGUAGAAUUCCAGGUGUAGCGGUGAAAUGCGUAGAGAUCUGGAGGAAUAUCGGUGGCGAAGGCGGCCCCCUGGACAAAGACUGACGCUCAGGUGCGAAAGCGUGGGGAGCAAACA